CAUUACCGAGUACCGGGUCCUCUGGGCCCCUGCUCCCACCCUUUGUGUACCUACCUAUUUUUCGUUGCCUCGGCGGGGUCGAUCCCCAGGGCUGCCGGCCCUGUGGGGGACCCGCCGGGGGGACACGCCUAAACUCUUGUCAACCGUGACGUCUGAGAAAGAAAACAAACCAGUCAAAACUUUCAACAACGGAUCUCUUGGUUCUGGCAUCGAUGAAGAACGCAGCGAAAUGCGAUAAGUAAUGUGAAUUGCAGAAUUCAGUGAAUCAUCGAAUCUUUGAACGCACAUUGCGCCCUUUGGUAUUCCGAAGGGCAUGCCUGUUCGAGCGUCAUUUCAAACCUCAAGCUCACGCUUGGUCUUGGGCGCCGUCCGCGAGGGCGCGCCAGAAACCCGUAGGCAGUGGUGCCCGCCUCCCAGCGUAGUCAAUUCACCGCUUCGGAGCGCGUGGUGCCGCCCGCCAGGCGAACAACCACCUAUUUUACUAUGGUUUGACCUCGGAUCAGGUAGGGAUACCCGCUGAACUUAAGCAU
RNAcentral lists this ribosomal RNA (530 nucleotides) under uncultured fungus. RNAcentral describes it as "eukaryotic LSU rRNA". The stretch from base 178 to 331 matches the Rfam family "5.8S ribosomal RNA". The record is from RNAcentral. Lineage: Eukaryota; Fungi.